UCACAUGCCUUUAAUCUCAGGACUCAUGAAAGGUAUUUAAGAUAGGGACGGGUCUCACAGCUGGCAUUCAUUCUCCAGCCACAUUUGAGGAUAGGAAGGCAUUCAGUCUCAGGUGUCUCUAGCCACGUUUUUGAGAAGAACGUAGCACUCUGAAUGAGUCUGAGGAGCAGUGAGGUCGGGAGCAGUCUGAAGAUGGACCCUUUGAUCUGAGCUGAGGUAGAGAGCAGUUAUUCCUCCUGACAGCAGCAAAAAUGAUGUAGGCAGUCUCUCCGCCAGCAAACUAAUGUGGAAACCACAGAUAAGGUCAUAAGUGGGAGAAGGGUUAAACACUAAAGAAGCUAGGCUAAUGGGUUAACCACCGAGGAUCCUGUGAGUCUGUCACAGAGAACGAGAACUCUGGGAGGCUUCUGAACCGGAAAUUAAAUGCUCCAACCAAUGGGACACACAUUCCUCAACUUCUAAUUCAUUGUAACUAUUCAUCACAAGGAGCUCAGACAUCCAAGUCCUGUAUGUGCCUGACCUAGGGCUGGAGUAUUUGGCAGAGUGUUGGAAAACAGAAAAUUUUAAGCACUAAAGAAUUGAGGACAGAUUAGGGUAAGCAGGUAGUUGAAUUAUCAGUUAAAUAAACAAGAGAUUAGUAAUAAGUAACCAUUGAUCCUUCCAUAUAAUUUGAAUCAUAUUUGUAUUGUGAAUUUGUUUUAUAAAUAUGUUUUACAUACGUUCUAUUUACAAAAUACCAUACUUUCAGGACAUGACUUUGAAGAAUCCAUACACCGGCUGUUUGAAGACAUUUAUAUCUAUUUGGAGAUAUGGGUAUUCAAAAUACAUAGGGCAGGGAAUAAAAAGUGGAUGGUGAUGAGCAGUGUUCAAUCACAGCAACAAGGGAAUAGCUAGAAGCAUAAUGUUAUACGUCUCACAGAUAUACUUAAAAAUGCCCCUUAAUCUGAGUCAUAAAAGGAGUAGAUUAAGAAAGACAAAUAUUGCAUUGUUGUUUUUAAGUCCACUUUUAAUUUUCCAUUCAAGAAAUUUCUAUUUAAAUUUUUGUGGUUAGGAAAAUAAUUGUAAACUGAGAGCUAAUAUCAUUCAUUCUCCUUGAGGUUAGCAACUUGCUUUUUUGGUAUUCUGUACAAUCAGCUCCUAGCUAAUGAGGAUUUAUGGUGAUAAUUAUAAUAAAUUGUUCUUUUAAUGCCUCUUACAGCUUGUAAAACAAGUUUACACAUACUAUUAAUGUUAUUUCUUCAAUAUGGCUGGAUGUAAGACUAGUUAAGGGGACUUAGAAAAUAUUAUCAUGUAAUAGAUCAAUAAAUU
This is a long non-coding RNA of Mesocricetus auratus (golden hamster), 1308 nucleotides long. RefSeq lists it as uncharacterized. NCBI's taxonomy places the organism in Eukaryota, Metazoa, Chordata, Mammalia, Rodentia, Cricetidae. The transcript is spliced from 3 exons. The record is from RefSeq and is a predicted model, not a curated record.